Molecule: ribosomal RNA, 204 nt
Filed under: uncultured bacterium
Lineage: Bacteria
Description: partial 16S ribosomal RNA
Rfam family: Bacterial small subunit ribosomal RNA
Source: RNAcentral
CAGUUCGGAUCGGAGUCUGCAACCCGACUCCGUGAAGCUGGAUUCGCUAGUAAUCGCGCAUCAGCCAUGGCGCGGUGAAUACGUUCCCGGGCCUUGUACACACCGCCCGUCAAGCCAUGGGAGCCGGGGGUGCUUGAAGUGCGUCGCCGCGAGGCGCGCCCUAGAGCAAAACCGGUGACUGGGGCUAAGUCGUAACAAGGUACC